This 548-nucleotide ribosomal RNA is filed under the name uncultured bacterium. RNAcentral describes it as "bacterial SSU rRNA". It matches the Rfam family "Bacterial small subunit ribosomal RNA", at positions 355 to 896 of the family's 1533-position model. The record is from RNAcentral.
UGGGGAAUAUUGGACAGUGGGCGCAAGCCUGAUCCAGCAAUGCCGCGUGAGUGAAGAAGGCCUUCGGGUUGUAAAGCUCUUUCAGUCGAGAAGAAAAAGCUGCAGUGAAUAACUGUAGUUCAUGACGGUAUCGACAGAAGAAGCACCGGCUAACUACGUGCCAGCAGCCGCGGUAAUACGUAGGGUGCGAGCGUUAAUCGGAAUUACUGGGCGUAAAGGGUGCGCAGGCGGCUUUGUAAGUCAGAUGUGAAAUCCCCGGGCUUAACCUGGGAAUUGCGUUUGAAACUACAAGGCUAGAGUGUGGCAGAGGGAGGUGGAAUUCCAUGUGUAGCAGUGAAAUGCGUAGAGAUAUGGAAGAACAUCGAUGGCGAAGGCAGCCUCCUGGGUUAACACUGACGCUCAUGCACGAAAGCGUGGGGAGCAAACAGGAUUAGAUACCCUGGUAGUCCACGCCCUAAACGAUGUCAACUAGUUGUUGGGCCUUAUUAGGCUUAGUAACGAAGCUAACGCGUGAAGUUGACCGCCUGGGGAGUACGGUCGCAAGAUUA